CCAACAUUAGUGUGCGAUGGAAGGACGCUUAGGGCUAAGGGGGCUAGCGGAUGGAAGUGCUAGUCUAAGGUCGUAGGAGGUUAUACAGGCAAAUCCGUAUAACAAUACUCCGAGAACUGAAAGGCUUUUUGAAGUCUUCGGAUGGAUAGAAGAACCCCUGAUGCCGUCGAGCCAAGAAAAGUUUCUAAGUUUAGCUAAUGUUGCCCGUACCGUAAACCGACACAGGUGGGUGGGAUGAGUAUUCUAAGGCGCGUGGAAGAACUCUCUUUAAGGAACUCUGCAAAAUAGCACCGUAUCUUCGGUAUAAGGUGUGGUUAGCUUUGUAUUAGGAUUUACUCCGAAAGCAAGGAAACUUACAACAAAGAGUCCCUCCCGACUGUUUACCAAAAACACAGCACUCUGCUAACUCGUAAGAGGAUGUAUAGGGUGUGACGCCUGCCCGGUGCUCGAAGGUUAAUUGAUGGGGUUAGCAUUAGCGAAGCUCUUGAUCGAAGCCCGAGUAAACGGCGGCCGUAACUAUAACGGUCCUAAGGUAGCGAAAUUCCUUGUCGGUUAAAUACCGACCUGCAUGAAUGGCGUAACGAGAUGGGAGCUGUCUCAAAGAGGGAUCCAGUGAAAUUGUAGUGGAGGUGAAAAUUCCUCCUACCCGCGGCAAGACGGAAAGACCCCGUGGACCUUUACUACAGCUUGACACUGCUACUUGGAUAAGAAUGUGCAGGAUAGGUGGGAGGCUUUGAGUAUAUGACGCCAGUUGUAUAUGAGCCAUUGUUGAGAUACCACUCUUUCUUAUUUGGGUAGCUAACCAGCUUGAGUUAUCCUCAAGUGGGACAAUGUCUGGUGGGUAGUUUGACUGGGGCGGUCGCCUCCCAAAUAAUAACGGAGGCUUACAAAGGUUGGCUCAGAACGGUUGGAAAUCGUUCGUAGAGUAUAAAGGUAUAAGCCAGCUUAACUGCAAGACAUACAAGUCAAGCAGAGACGAAAGUCGGUCUUAGUGAUCCGGUGGUUCUGUGUGGAAGGGCCAUCGCUCAAAGGAUAAAAGGUACCCCGGGGAUAACAGGCUGAUCUCCCCCAAGAGCUCACAUCGACGGGGAGGUUUGGCACCUCGAUGUCGGCUCAUCGCAUCCUGGGGCUGGAGCAGGUCCCAAGGGUAUGGCUGUUCGCCAUUUAAAGCGGUACGCGAGCUGGGUUCAGAACGUCGUGAGACAGUUCGGUCCCUAUCUGCCGUGGGCGUAAGAAGAUUGAAGAGAUUUGACCCUAGUACGAGAGGACCGGGUUGAACAAACCACUGGUGUAGCUGUUGUUCUGCCAAGAGCAUCGCAGCGUAGCUAAGUUUGGAAAGGAUAAACGCUGAAAGCAUCUAAGCGUGAAGCCAACUCUAAGAUGAAUCUUCUCUAAGCUCUCUAGAAGACUACUAGUUUGAUAGGCUGGGUGUGUAAUGGAUGAAAGUCCUUUAGCUGACCAGUACUAAUAGAGCGUUUGGCUUAUCUUU
Molecule: ribosomal RNA, 1489 nt
Filed under: Campylobacter jejuni
Lineage: Bacteria; Pseudomonadati; Campylobacterota; Epsilonproteobacteria; Campylobacterales; Campylobacteraceae
Description: partial 23S ribosomal RNA
Rfam family: Bacterial large subunit ribosomal RNA
Source: RNAcentral